Molecule: ribosomal RNA, 253 nt
Filed under: uncultured bacterium
Lineage: Bacteria
Description: partial 16S ribosomal RNA
Rfam family: Bacterial small subunit ribosomal RNA
Source: RNAcentral
UACAGAGGGGGCAAGCGUUAUUCGGAAUUAUUGGGCGUAAAGGGCGCGUAGGCGGCCUGGCAAGUGGAAGGUGAAAUCCCUCGGCUUAACCGAGGAACUGCCCUCCAAACUGCUUGGCUUGAGUCCGGGAGAGGUGAGUGGAAUUCCCAGUGUAGCGGUGAAAUGCGCAGAUAUCAGGAGGAACACCGGUGGCGAAGGCGGUUCUCUGGGCAUUACCUGACGCUGAGGAGCGAAAGUGUGGGGAGCGAACAGG